GGCUGGUCCGAGUGCAGUGGUGUUAACAACUAAUUGACCACAACCAGAUACAGAUUUCUUUAUUCCUUCUCCACUCCCACUGCUUCACUUGACUAGCUUUAA
Molecule: Y RNA, 102 nt
Filed under: Saimiri boliviensis boliviensis (Bolivian squirrel monkey)
Lineage: Eukaryota; Metazoa; Chordata; Mammalia; Primates; Cebidae
Description: Y RNA (ENSSBOG00000000384.1)
Rfam family: Y RNA
About the family: Y RNAs are components of the Ro ribonucleoprotein particle (Ro RNP), in association with Ro60 and La proteins.
Source: Rfam by way of RNAcentral